AUUAUUAUUUAUUAAAUAUUAAUUAAACUUCAUAUUAUAUAGUUACCUUUUAAAAAAACAAAAUAUAAAAAUUAGGGAUUUGAUUUUAAUUAAUUUCAUAUUAUAUGGUUACCCAAUAACUAUCCACCCCCAUAUCAACCAAUACUCUUUUAUCUUCCCCCAAUACACUCAACAUUUCCCUAUUUACACUCUUCUCUUACUAUCAUAUUAAUUCUACACGUCUUUUUUCACGUUUCUCUCUCUAUUAAUCAAUUAAAGGCAGCACACAUUUCUCUCUCUAUUGAUUAAUUAAAGACAACACGACUAAUUUCUUUGUCAUAUUAAAUCUGAGAAUACAUAUACGCACGCUUAAUGUCAUCUUCAAGUACAAACAUUUUCAAGCUUUAAACUUAUUUCUCAAAAUCAUAUUAAGCUUAAAAUCCUUAUUCAACUACAUCUCUAUCAAUCUUUCACAAAAUUAAGUUUUUAUUUUUCGACCAUCAAAUUCGCAACAUUACAUGAUUUUUGAAAAAAAUCGUGUUGUAUAGAUCAUCAAACAGGAUCUGGGUUGUUGAAUACAAUGUCUAAACCAAAUAUCCUAAGGAGAUUCACAAGAGGCUAUACAACUGCGAUGGAAUUAGAGAAGAAGUCGAAUGAUGAACUAGUAAGAUCUAGUCCUUCUAAAAGGAAAGUAGUGUCAACGGUGAAAGCAAUCAGAAAAAAAUGUUAUAAGAGGAGGAAAG
Long non-coding RNA from Solanum lycopersicum (tomato), 722 nucleotides. RefSeq lists it as uncharacterized. Lineage: Eukaryota; Viridiplantae; Streptophyta; Magnoliopsida; Solanales; Solanaceae. The record is from RefSeq and is a predicted model, not a curated record.